Molecule: unclassified non-coding RNA, 492 nt
Filed under: Hevea brasiliensis (rubber tree)
Lineage: Eukaryota; Viridiplantae; Streptophyta; Magnoliopsida; Malpighiales; Euphorbiaceae
Source: RNAcentral
GAGCAUGCCAACUUUGAAAGUUUCUGACUCCACGGAACGCCUAUAUAGGAACCUCAUGGCUUUCGAGCAAUGUCACUACCCAAAAGAAGCUUACAUCUGCAACUACAUUAGAUUCAUCGAUGAACUGAUCAACACUGAAGAUGACGUGGAAUUGCUCAUUGAGAAGGGUGUUCUUGUUAAUAGCCUUGGCAAUAAUGAAAAGGUGUCCAACCUUUUCAAUGAUCUGAAUAAUGGAAUCGUAAGAGCAAAUUUCUGUUACGAAACAAUUUUUCAACGGCUGAAUGAUCACUACGGGACUUGCUGGUACCGAGCCGUCGCAACCUUGAGACAUGCAUACUUCACCAAUUUUUGGAGAGGUAGCGGAACGGUAUUCGCAUUCAUACUCCUCAUCCUCACUUUGAUACAGUCCAUACGUUCCCUCAUGGAAAUAUUUUAGUUUCAGAGUUUGUGUAAUUUUUCUAAGUGCCCCCCUACGUUUGGAUUGCUUUUUUU